GACGAACGCUGGCGGCGUGCCUAAUACAUGCAAGUAGAACGCUGAAGGAGGAGCUUGCUUCUCUGGAUGAGUUGCGAACGGGUGAGUAACGCGUAGGUAACCUGCCUGGUAGCGGGGGAUAACUAUUGGAAACGAUAGCUAAUACCGCAUAAUAGUAGAUGUUGCAUGAUAUUUGCUUAAAAGGUGCAAUUGCAUCACUACCAGAUGGACCUGCGUUGUAUUAGCUAGUUGGUGGGGUAACGGCUCACCAAGGCGACGAUACAUAGCCGACCUGAGAGGGUGAUCGGCCACACUGGGACUGAGACACGGCCCAGACUCCUACGGGAGGCAGCAGUAGGGAAUCUUCGGCAAUGGACGGAAGUCUGACCGAGCAACGCCGCGGGAGUGAAGAAGGUUUUCGGAUCGUAAAGCUCUGUUGUAAGAGAAGAACGAGUGUGAGAGUGGAAAGUUCACACUGUGACGGUAGCUUACCAGAAAGGGACGGCUAACUACGUG
Molecule: ribosomal RNA, 495 nt
Filed under: uncultured bacterium
Lineage: Bacteria
Description: partial 16S ribosomal RNA
Rfam family: Bacterial small subunit ribosomal RNA
Source: RNAcentral